GACGGAGGAUGCAAGUGUUAUCCGGAAUCACUGGGCGUAAAGCGUCUGUAGGUGGUUUAAAAAGUCUACUGUUAAAAAUUGAAGCUUAACUUCAAAGGUGCCGUAGAAACUUUUAAACUUGAGGAUGGUAGGGGUAGAGGGAAUUUCCAGUGGAGCGGUGAAAUGCGUAGAUCUUGGAAAGACCACCAAUGGCGAAGGCACUCUACUGGGCCAUGACUGACACUAAGAGACGAAAGCUAGGGGAGCAAAUGGG
Molecule: ribosomal RNA, 253 nt
Filed under: uncultured bacterium
Lineage: Bacteria
Description: partial 16S ribosomal RNA
Rfam family: Bacterial small subunit ribosomal RNA
Source: RNAcentral